GACGAACGCUGGCGGCGUGCUUAACACAUGCAAGUCGAACGAGAAUCUGCGGAAAGAGGAUUCGUCCAAUUGAAGCAGAGGACAGUGGCGGACGGGUGAGUAACGCGUGAGGAACCUGCCUUUCAGAGGGGGACAACAGUUGGAAACGACUGCUAAUACCGCAUGACACAUCGGAGUCGCAUGGCUCUGAUGUCAAAGAUUUAUCGCUGAAAGAUGGCCUCGCGUCUGAUUAGCUAGUUGGUGAGGUAACAGCCCACCAAGGCGACGAUCAGUAGCCGGACUGAGAGGUUGAACGGCCACAUUGGGACUGAGAUACGGCCCAGACUCCUACGGGAGGCAGCAGUGGGGAAUAUUGGGCAAUGGGCGCAAGCCUGACCCAGCAACGCCGCGUGAAGGAAGAAGGCUUUCGGGUUGUAAACUUCUUUGUCAGGGACGAGUAGAAGACGGUACCUGACGAAUAAGCCACGGCUAACUACGUGCCAGCAG
This 486-nucleotide ribosomal RNA is filed under the name uncultured bacterium. Its description in RNAcentral is "bacterial SSU rRNA". It matches the Rfam family "Bacterial small subunit ribosomal RNA", at positions 28 to 514 of the family's 1533-position model. The record is from RNAcentral.